UGAGGAAUCUUGCGCAAUGGGGGAAACCCUGACGCAGCAACGCCGCGUGAGUGAGGAAGGCCUUCGGGUCGUAAAGCUCUGUCAGAUGGGAAGAAAUGGGUGGGGGCUAAUAUCGUCCAUCCUUGACGGUACCAUCAGAGGAAGCACCGGCUAACUCCGUGCCAGCAGCCGUGGUAAUACGGGGGGUGCAAGCGUUGUUCGGAAUCAUUGGGCGUAAAGCGCGCGCAGGCGGCUUGGUAAGUCAGAUGUGAAAUCCCUGGGCUUAACCCAGGAAGUGCAUUUGAUACUGCCUCGCUAGAGUACGGGAGAGGAAAGUGGAAUUCCUGGUGUAGAGGUGAAAUUCGUAGAUAUCAGGAGGAACGCCGGUGGCGAAGGCGACUUUCUGGCCCGAUACUGACGCUCAGGCGCGAAAGCGUGAGGAGCAAACAG
RNAcentral lists this ribosomal RNA (429 nucleotides) under uncultured bacterium. RNAcentral's name for it is "bacterial SSU rRNA". It matches the Rfam family "Bacterial small subunit ribosomal RNA", at positions 355 to 775 of the family's 1533-position model. The record is from RNAcentral.